AUUGAACGCUAGCGGGAUGCUUUACACAUGCAAGUCGAACGGCAGCGCGGACUUCGGUCUGGCGGCGAGUGGCGAACGGGUGAGUAAUGUAUCUGAACGUGCCCAAUAGCGGGGGAUAACUACGCGAUAGCGUAGCUAAUACCGCAUACGCCCUACGGGGGAAAUCCGGGGAUCGUAAGACCUUGCACUUUUGUAGCGGCCGAUAUCGGAUUAGCUAGCUGGUGUGGUAACGGCUCACCAAGGGGACGAUCCGUAGCUGGUUUGAGAGGACGAACAGGCACACUGGGACUGAGAAACGGCCCAGACUCCUACGGGAGGCAGCAGUGGGGAAUUUUGGACAAUGGGGGCAAGCCUGAUCCAGCCAACCGGCGUGUGCGAUGAAGGACUUCGGGUUGUAAAGCACUUUUGGCAGGAAAGAAACGUCGCGGGCUAAUACCCCGUGGAACUGACGGUACCUGCAGAAUAAGCACCGGCUAACUACGUG
RNAcentral lists this ribosomal RNA (484 nucleotides) under uncultured bacterium. Its description in RNAcentral is "partial 16S ribosomal RNA". It matches the Rfam family "Bacterial small subunit ribosomal RNA", at positions 30 to 507 of the family's 1533-position model. The record is from RNAcentral.